RNAcentral lists this unclassified non-coding RNA (343 nucleotides) under soil metagenome. Its description in RNAcentral is "partial contains 5.8S ribosomal RNA, internal transcribed spacer 2, and large subunit ribosomal RNA". The stretch from base 1 to 120 matches the Rfam family "5.8S ribosomal RNA", at positions 35 to 154 of the family's 154-position model. The record is from RNAcentral.
GAUGAAGAACGUAGCGAAAUGCGAUAAGUAAUGUGAAUUGCAGAAUUCAGUGAAUCAUCGAAUCUUUGAACGCACAUUGCGCCCGCCAGUAUUCUGGCGGGCAUGCCUGUUCGAGCGUCAUUUCCACCAUCAGGCCCCCGGGCCUGUGUUGGGGACCUGCGGCUGCCCGCAGGCCCCGAAAUUCAGUGGCGGUCGCGCCGUAGCAACCGAGCGUAGUAACUAAAACGUCUCGCUCUGGCUCGCUGGGCGCGCUCCGGCCGUAAAACACCCCCCUUUUCGCAAAGGUUGACCUCGGAUCAGGUAGGAAUACCCGCUGAACUUAAGCAUAUCAAUAAGCGGAGGA